Molecule: ribosomal RNA, 253 nt
Filed under: uncultured bacterium
Lineage: Bacteria
Description: partial 16S ribosomal RNA
Rfam family: Bacterial small subunit ribosomal RNA
Source: RNAcentral
UACGUAGGUGGCAAGCGUUAUCCGGAAUUAUUGGGCGUAAAGCGCGCGCAGGUGGUUUCUUAAGUCUGAUGUGAAAGCCCACGGCUCAACCGUGGAGGGUCAUUGGAAACUGGGAGACUUGAGUGCAGGAGAGGAAAGUGGAAUUCCAAGUGUAGCGGUGAAAUGCGUAGAGAUUUGGAGGAACACCAGUGGCGAAGGCGACUUUCUGGCCUGUAACUGACACUGAGGCGAGAAAGCGUGGGGAGCAAACAGG